Molecule: long non-coding RNA, 532 nt
Filed under: Lupinus angustifolius (narrow-leaved blue lupine)
Lineage: Eukaryota; Viridiplantae; Streptophyta; Magnoliopsida; Fabales; Fabaceae
Description: long non-coding RNA (LANG_LNC003440)
Source: RNAcentral
GUUGCUACUAGGAAUAGUAUUCCUCAUGGCAGUGUCAAUUGGUAUUGCUUACGGAGAAAAAAAUGUGAUAAAGAAUCAUGAGAGGCCUCAGGAAAGAGAACAAGAGGAGCGCGACCCAAGACAACAGCCACGCCCUCACCUUCAGGAGGAGCAAGAAAGAGAGCAUAGGAGAGAGGAGGAGCGUGAUCGUGAGCCUUCACGUGGUAGGAGCGAGAGCGAAGAAAGCCGAGAGGAGGAGCGUGAACAAAGGAGAGAACCUCGUAGGGAGAGGGAGCAAGAACAACAACCUCAACAUGGAAGGAGAGAGGAGGAAGAAGAGUGGCAACCCAGGAGACAACGACCUCAAAGUAGAAGGGAAGAGAGAGAGCAAGAGCAAGGCUCUAGCUCUAGCUCACGUAGGCAAAGUGGUUAUGAGAGGAGGGAACAGAGGGAAGAGAGAGAACAAGAGCAAGAGCAAGGUUCUCGCUCAGACUCACGCAGACAGAGGAACCCUUAUUACUUCAGCUCUGAAAGAUUCCAAACUCUUUACAGA